Molecule: ribosomal RNA, 450 nt
Filed under: uncultured bacterium
Lineage: Bacteria
Description: bacterial SSU rRNA
Rfam family: Bacterial small subunit ribosomal RNA
Source: RNAcentral
GUGGGGAAUAUUGGACAAUGGGCGCAAGCCUGAUCCAGCAAUGCCGCGUGUGUGAAGAAGGCCUUCGGGUUGUAAAGCACUUUUGUUCGGGAAGAAAUCCGUGAGGUUAAUACCCUUACGGGAUGACGGUACCGAAAGAAUAAGCACCGGCUAACUUCGUGCCAGCAGCCGCGGUAAUACGAAGGGUGCAAGCGUUAAUCGGAAUUACUGGGCGUAAAGCGUGCGUAGGCGGUUUGUUAAGUCAGAUGUGAAAGCCCCGGGCUCAACCUGGGAACUGCAUUUGAUACUGGCAGGCUAGAGUGCGGUAGAGGGUGGUGGAAUUCCCGGUGUAGCGGUGAAAUGCGUAGAGAUCGGGAGGAACAUCCGUGGCGAAGGCGGCCACCUGGACCAGCACUGACGCUGAGGCACGAAAGCGUGGGGAGCAAACAGGAUUAGAUACCCGAGUAGUCC